AUUCCACCAUUCUGUCUUCCAGGUCACUUAUCCGUUCUUCUGCCUCAGUUUCUCUGCUAUUGAUUCCUUCUGGUGUAUUUUUCAUUUCAGUUAUUGUAUUGUUCAUCUCUGUUUGUUUGUUCUUUAAUUCUUCUAGGUCUUUGUUAAACAUUUCUUGCAUCUUCUCGAUCUUUGUCUCCAUUCCUUUUCCAAGGUCCUAGGUCAUGUUCACUAUCAUUAUUCUGAAUUCUUUCUCUGGAAGGUUGCCACUUCAUUUAGUUGAUUUUCUGGGGUUUUAUCUUGUUCCUUCAUCUGGUACAGAGUCCUCUGCCUUUUCAUUUUGUCUGUCUUCCUGUGAAUGAGGUUUUUGUUCCACAGGCUGCAGGAUUGUAGUUCUUCUUGCUUCUGCUGUCUGCCCUCUGGUAAAUGAGGCUAUCUAAGAGGCUUGUGCAAGCUUCCUAAUGGGAAGGGACUGGUGAUGGGUAGAGCUGGGUGUGCUCUGGUGGACAGAGCUCAGUAAAACUUUAAUCUGCUUGACUGUUGAUGGGUGGGGCUGGGUUCCCUCCCUGUUGGUUGUUUGGCCUGAGGCAACCCAACACUGGAGCCUACCUGGGCUCUUUGGUGGGGCUAAUGGCAGACUCUGGGAGGGCUCAUGCCAAGGAGUACUUCCCAGAACUUCUGCUGCCAGUGUCUUCGUCCCUAUGGUGAGCCACAGCCACCCUCUACCUCUGCAGGAGACCCUCCAACACUAGCAGGUAGGUCUGGUUCAGUCUUCUAUGGGGGUCACUGCUCCUUCCCCCUGGGUCCUGAUGCACACACUACUUUGUGUGUGCCAUCCAAGAAUGGAGUCUCUGUUUCCCCCAGUCCUGUCAAAGUCCUGCAGUCAAAUCCUGCUAGACUUCAAAGUCUGAUUCUCCAGGAAUUCCUCCUCCCGUUGCCAGACCCCCAGGUUGGGAAGCCUGAUGGGCUCAGAACCUUCACUCCAGUGGGUGGACUUCUGUGGUAUAAGUGUUCUCCAGUUUGUGAGUCACCCACCCAGUGGUUAUGGGAUUUGAUUUUAUUGUGAUUGUGCCCUUCCUACCAUCUCAUUGCAACUUCUCCUUUGUCUUUGGAUGUGGGGUAUCUUUUUUGGUGAGUUCCAGUGUCUUCCUGUCAAUGAUUGUUCAGUUAGUUGUGAUUCCAGUGUUCUCACAAGAGUGAGUAAGCGCAUGUCUUUCUACUCCACCAUCUUGAACCAAUCUCGACCUACCAAAGUCUUGAAGGUUUCCACAACUCAAGAAGUGGCUGGAAGAAUGACCACCGUUUUGGAAUAGGGAUGAGAUGAAGACCUCAGGAGACAGACCCAGACAAGGAAGUCAAGAGCAAGCAGCCAUGGGACUGACAUGAAAGACGCCUUGCAAGGACCUCCAACCACUUCUUUAGUGCCGGCCCUUGGAGGAAGGAAAUGCCAACCAGGGCUCUCCACAACAGCCUCCCCUUCUACAUUUAGGAUGAAUCACCAAAGUCAUUUCCUAAGUAAACGUUCUUUUUAGCUCCCUGGAGAAAAGUGUAAAGGAGCUAGUUUUUUGUUUGCUUGUUUGUUUGUUUGUUUCUUUAUUUUUUUGGCUGCGUUGGGUCUUAGCCAGGGCACGUAGGCUUCUCUCUAGUUGUGGCGCGCGGGCUCCAAGGCGUGUGGGCUCUGUAGUUGUGGCACAUGGGCUAUCUCGUUGAGGCACGCGAGCUCAGUAGUUGUGGCUCACAGGCUUAGUUGCCCCGUGGCAUGUGGGACCUUAGUUCCCCAACCAGGCAUGGAACCCGCAUCCCCUGCAUUGGAAGGUGGAUUCUUUACCACUGGACCACCAGGGAAGUCCCAAGGAGCCAGUUUUAAGAGAAGAGAUUCUAAAAAUAUUUUUGGAAAAUUUCAAUAUUGGUUCAGGGAGUUUUAAAAGAAAGAAAAAUUACAGGAAUCACUGUUGGAUGAGAAUCACAUCACAGCUCCAGUUUGUGCCACCUACAAGACUAGUGGGGUUUUUUCAGAGUCAGCCUCAAAGCCAGAAUCAUCUUCCUACAGCAUCGUUUUUAUCCUGUUGCCUCCAUGCUCAAAACCCUCUAGUGGCUUUCCAGGCUCUACAGAAGCAAGCCCAGCAAGUCCGGUGGCCCCACACCAAGCUCAGCACCUCUGAAGCUGCAUAACCCUGACCAGAACCACUUAGCUGGCAUCUAUCACGUCUUGCUUGACUGGUGGUAAUUUUUUUACAUUUAUUUCAGUGAAUAGACCCUAAACUCCUUGAGGGUAGAAUGCCAGGCUGGAUUGCCUUGGAGAAGGAAAUCACUAUCUUUGUGAUAAGUUCGGAGUACCAUGAGUAUUGACAUCAUCAGGAAAAUCCCCAGCCCGAUCUGUCAUGACUAGCACACAAUCUAUUAGCACAUCCAUGUCAUGGCAAUAGACGACCGUGAAGUCUGCCUGUAGCAUGUUAAAUCAGUCAGCAAAGCCCACCAGGUUAGAGAUCAAAUUCAGGACCUGGACUAGAGAUGGGAUUUUGUUCUGUCCUUGGCAGGGAAUGCAGUUCCAGUCCCUGUCACAAAGUGAGGCAGAUUCAUCACCACCUCCAGAAAAACAACUUAAAAAGCACUUGCUGACAUGGCUCCACAAGGCCCUUUGUACACCUACCCCUUUCCAUCUGUAUUGCUUUUAGACACACCUCAGGUUGGGUGGGGGAAUGGGGGAAAAGACUGGGAAUUGUUUGCAUUUUAUUAUUUUUAAAUCUCAAGUUAUGAGUGAUGUUAAAAGUAAAAUGUAUUGAGUAAGCUCAGCUUACUCAGCUGACUGUUGAUGUGAGUGAAAUGCAUGCUCAUUUGCUUACCAAUGUCUUCUUUCCAUGCUGAACACAAAAGGAUUUUUAUUGUGUUUCUAAUUUGAAAUUUAGAUAAUUACAGCAAAUAGACUACUUCUGGAAAGUCACCUUUCCAAUGUACCGCAGACAAGAAGAAAUGAGGGAUUCUUGGUGAUGAUUUACUCUUGGAGAAAUAGACAUUACACUCCUGACCAAACAGCAGAAAUGGAAUGACCUGAAGUACCAUGAUUUUACUGCACAACUUCUCCACAGGCAUCCAUGACGUCUUGGUGAAGGGCACCAGCUUCUCUUGCAUGUCAGCCAUGGCACUGAGUUUGCAGGUGGGGAGAGACAGACAUGGGUCCCAGUUCAUUCUCAUGGGCUCCAGUUUGUCUUUGUUCUCAAUCACACCCAGUUUUCCUACCUUACUGCUGACCUGCUUAACCUAAAGCUACUUUAUAAACUAAUACAACGUUACAUGUCCAUUGAACCUCAAUAAAACUUGGGGAAAAAAUAAAGCUACUUUAAGCUUAACAUUAGAUGAAGAGACAACAGCCUGGCAUAGAUUCCUCCACCAGUUUCUACAAUUGCAAAGUCCAAUCCUUAUAAUAAUUUGGUUUUCUAUGUAACUUAUAGCAGUUCUGGUUCUCUGAUCGAACCCUGAGUGAUACACAUGUAUUGUCUCAUUUAAUCCUCACUAAAAUCCUAGGGGAUAGGCACUAUUAUUAGUCCUAUUUCACAGGUGAAGAACUUGAGAAACAAAGAGAACAGGAAGAGGCUCAGGUGUAGUUAGUCUGGCCUUAUCCUGAUCUACAGAGGGGCUACUUUUUUUUAAACAUCUUUAUUGGAGUAUAAUUGCUUUACAAUGGUGUGUUAGUUUCUGCUUUAUAACAAAGUGAAUCAGUUAUACAUAUGUUCCCAUAUCUCUUCCCUCUUGCAUCUCCCUCCCUCCCACCCUCCCUAUCCCACCCCUCUAGGUGGUCACAAACCACUGAGCUGAUCUCCCUGUGCUAUGCGGCUGCUUCCCACUAGCUAUCUAUUUUACGUUUGGUAAUGUAUAUAUGUCCAUGCCACUCUCUCACUUUGUCAUGUUAGUCACUUCCGUAGCUCUUCAGGCCAGGUAUCUUCCCUCAGCCCAGGACAAUUUUCCAGCUGUGAAACAUUAGCAGCCAACAUUCAGGGAAGCUGGGAAGAUGGUACACCAGCUCAAUAUAGGGGAUCUAGGAGGGGCACCAUGGUCCCUUUGCAGGGUGCUAUCUUGUUUGGCCUCAUUUUUGUCCACCAAAACUCUGUAAGCAGCAAUGCUGGCAAACCUUAUUCCAGCAUCUUCAGACUGCUCUAAGGCCCUUUGGGAACAGUUAGCUCUUCUUCAUGAAACUAGUCUCCAAAACCCCAUUUCUGAAAUGCAUUCCAAAAUAGAAACAACAUCAGUAAUGCAAUAGUAUAAAUUAUUGCUAUCAGAUCAAUCUUCAGUGUACUAGAGGAUCACACUAGGAGUUGUCACUGAGCACUGGGGAUUAGGAAAAGGGAAUCCAAGGGAAAAAGGGACUGGAGGACAGACCCUGGCAAUUCCAAAAUGAGUCUGACUAUUAUCAGAAAAAUCACGUCUUCUGGAUUCAGAUAUAUCCAGUUAUAUUCCAAAGCCUGGAGAGUGUCUGAUGCUCUCUGACUGACAGUCUCCCCAUUGGUUAAAAUGCAAUAAUAAUAUGUGCCUUGUAUAUCUGUUGGAGGGGAAAAUGUUUCAAAAGGCCCCGAAUGCAGUGCUCAUUGUGCACAUAGCUCAAUAAAUGGUAUUUUAUUGCAAAGACAUAUAUCUAUGCUCCCCACUCUCACUCACUGAACUUCUUCAUUCUCCAAUUCCAAACAGAUGGAUUGGAUUUAUCCCCUGCAGAACCCAAACAAAAACCACAAACAGGGAAUUCCCUGGUGAUCCAGUGGUUAGGACUCAGAGCUUUCACUGUCAGGGGCCUGGGUUCGAUCCCUGGUGGGGGAACUAAGAUCCCACAAGCCUCGUGGCAUGGCCAAAAACAAACAAACAAACAACUCAAAUACUAACCAAAAAAGCCAUGGUCUAGAGCACAGCUAAGAAAAGUAGAGUUGCAUUUUUAUUGAGCAAUUUUCUCUGUCUGAAACAUAUUACAAGACACCAAGCACUGGGGAAAGGGGCAGGAAGACAACCCAAAUCCUUUGAGCUGUUUUGUAGAGACUGAAACCCUCACCGGGUGGAAGAAGUUAACUAUUCAAUACAUGAUGAUGACCAGACUGUAGCCAUGACUUAAGCUGCCACAGUUCUGAGAACUGGUCUCAAAUAAAUGGGAACAAACGAAGCCUCGAACUGAAGGCUAACUGUAAUUAAAACAAUCAAGAUGAUGCUGAUCAGACCACCGCAUGAUCAAUUUCAAGAUGACUGUCAGAGCCGACUGUGCUGUUUCUGCAUGUAGCCCUCUCCCUUCACCUAUAAAAGCUCUUGCCCUAUGCCUCCCCACUGCUGGGUUGCUAGCCUCCAACAGAAAACAAACUUUCCUUUCCACCAACCUUGCCUCUUUAUUGGCUUUUGAGCAGUAAGCAACUGGACCCACUUUCGCUAACGGAUUUUUGGCUCCCAACGCGAGACUGCGCUCUCGCGAUAUCUGGCUCCCAGUGGGGUGGGGGCGGUUCCUUCCCCACCAGCAGAGCCACCGCCAUGGCGUGGCGCCAGGAUGGCUGCGAGGAGCCCGCUACUCCUGCAUCACUGGCCCCGGGAGGGGAUUUGGGGGGACAUUCCUAGCAGCUGCCCAAACCAUUCGUUUUGGGAACCCUCCCUGUUUCUCCCCUGUUCGGCACUGGCUGCCAACAAACGCUUUUCCUUGGUGCAACGGAAAGAUGCCUCAGGACGAGCUGACGAGCUCCAAGACCGAGUAAGUCCACCGGUGCGCACGCUGCAAACCUCUUUUGAGCAUGAGGUGCUAUCUGGGCAUUUUGCCCUUUGGUUCUGACGUGUGUCUGAUGUUGAGGACCAUUUUUUUUGGGAAGUGUUCGUCUGGGACUUCGUAUCCGUCCUCUCAGUGCGUUUGUGACAGUUGCUCUCUUCUGGUGUGUGACUGUGUAUUCCAUUUGUGUGAUUGGUAUUCUUGUUGCCUUUUGUAAAAUGGUAAAUUCAGGUUCAAUUCAUUAAGAAAAAUUUUGGCUAUGAACCUAUGGCUAAGAAAGGUUUUUUUUUUAAACAUUGUGUGGUCAACAGUAUUCUUCAGACUCCAGAGAAAACUGGUUAUGAUGUGUAUCACUGCUGGCUUUAAGUUUUCUGCUUGAGGCACAUGUACAAUGUUUGUGUGACAACUGGGUAUAGUUGAUAAAAUGUAUAGCCUAUAAAAUAUUUCCCCAUCAGCAUAUCUCUGCACUUAUUUGUUAUGUCUGAUUAGUUUUCCCCCAACUAAGCAAAUAUAUAAACAAAAAAGUAGGCCUAGCCCCGAGGGACAUGAAUGGACCCAGAGCAGGCAGGAAUCAGCUUAGCUUUGUAGCAUGAGUACUGAAGAGUUUUGAGUAAACCAAGAUGACCAUGUUGUCCUUUGCAUUGCCUUCUGCUAAGGAUCACGAACUGCCAGCAGCCAACCCAUUACUUCUUAUCAUCUAGUGUGAAGUAAUCCUGGAGAAUCUCUCCAUCCCCCAUCCAAACAAUCCACAUGAGCAACCACCAUCUGAUGACUAGGGUCCCUCAUAAGUCUUGUUCAACCCCAUCUCCAGCAUGGACAGGGAGGGAUGGAUACUGGGGACUGUGAAAGCAUGAAUAGAAAAUAUGAAACGCACUUGUCCCACAUCUUCUGUCUUGCCUAUUGUUGGCCCUUUUGAAUUUUACAUUUACCCAAUGAGACUCCAAGAAGCAUCAGAUGCUGUUUAAAGCUGCACAAGUCCACCACCCAGCAGGAACUUGGCCAAGGAGCCAAUUCUAUUCUGCCUCCAGAGUUGUUUGGGAGAAAAGCAGUGGAUAUAAAAAUUUACAUUUGGAUUUUUCUUUCAUUUGUUUAGAAUUUGGUGUCCCUUCCAUUUCUCCUCCCUCUCUUUUCAUCCCAGCUCCAAUUAGAAAAUUCCAUUGUACAAAAUUCCACUCCACAGGAACCUAUAUCAAAUUUAGGAAGCCAUUGGUUUUUAAAGAACCCUCAUUUCAGGAGGGUAGAACAGAGCGUGCCAUGUAAUCAAAGGCAAUUAGAGACAUUCACGCCAUUGUGAAUAUACAUCCUUUGCAUACACAAUUAUGAAGAAUUGUUCAGAGAGCUUACACACUGUGGUGCUGGAUGGUUUCCAGAAGCACUUAAGGCAUAAGAAGCACUUAUUUGGGGCUUGCAAACAUGAGUUUUGUUUGUGUUCUUAUGCAUGUUUGGCAAAUACAAUGCAGGAUCUGCUUUCAGAACAUUUGGCCCUAAAUAAAAAGAAAUGUGUCAGCGAAUCCACCAAGAAGUACACUAAACCCAAAACUUCUGUUGGAUCCAGAAAGAAGCUGAGGAAGACUUUGCUUGUUUUCCAGCUAAAGCCAACAUCUGAAUGCAAUCACCAAGAGUUCUGGCUGCUUUGGCCACAUCUAGCAGAGAUGCAGAAAGCCUCACCAAAAGCCCAGUGCAUUCUUUGUGAAGCUGCCCAACACUUUUAGCACACCUGGGGUCAGUUAGGAAGGCAAGAUGUCCAUGUGAGCAGGAUGAGCUCACCCCGUGCCUUUCAAUGAUCUCAAACAUUUGCCAUCUACCCCAGGACAUGCAAAGUACCACCUACAUGCGUAUUGGAUUUCUUGGAUGCGGCAGGAGAAGGGGAGAAGAACAUGUUUCUGCCAUCUUUAUAUAGUAAAUAAGGAAAGACUACAGUCCAUCUACUAGGGUGAAGUACAACUCCACUUACUCUGUGACUAAGCAAGUUAUAUAAUAUCGGCCUCACUCUCCUUGUUGGUAAAACAAAAAUGAUAAUAGUACCUGCCUCAUGAAGCUGUUGAAGACUGAUAAGAUGACAAAUGUAAAAUGGCCACACCAAGUAACUUCUCAAAGAAUGUAGGCUAAAAGAAUUAAAUUAUUUCAUCAUAUUCUCUCUGUGUCUUCUCCAACUUCCAUGCAGAAAAGUCACCUCCCUUAAAAAAACUUAAAACUUGAUCUACGAUUCACCCUCACAACUGAACACAUCUCCACUUCUUUCUUUCUUUCUUUAUUUUUUUGAUGUGGACCAUUUUUAAAGU
Physeter macrocephalus (sperm whale) is the source of this 7983-nucleotide long non-coding RNA. RefSeq lists it as uncharacterized. Lineage: Eukaryota; Metazoa; Chordata; Mammalia; Artiodactyla; Physeteridae. The transcript has 3 exons. The record is from RefSeq and is a predicted model, not a curated record.